Molecule: ribosomal RNA, 379 nt
Filed under: uncultured eukaryote
Lineage: Eukaryota
Description: partial 18S ribosomal RNA
Rfam family: Eukaryotic small subunit ribosomal RNA
Source: RNAcentral
CAAUAGCGUAUAUUAAAGUUGUUGCGGUAAAAAAGCUCGUAGUUGGAUUUCUGUUGAGAGCGACCGGUCCAUACCAUGUAUGCGUAUCUGGCUUGCUCUCGGCAUCCUCUCGAUAGACGUUACUGCGCUUGAUUGCGUGGUGCGGAUCUCGGGACUUUUACUUUGAGGAAAUUAGAGUGUUCACGGCAGGCUUUCGCCAGAAUACGUUAGCAUGGAAUAAUACUAUAGGAUCUUGGUUCUAUUUUGUUGGUUUCUAGAAUUGAGAUAAUGAUUAAUAGGGACAAUUGGGGGCAUUCGUAUCAACACGUCAGAGGUGGAAUUCUUGGAUUGUGUUGCGACGAACUACUGCGAAAGCAUUUGCCAAGGAUGUUUUCAUUGA